RNAcentral lists this ribosomal RNA (457 nucleotides) under uncultured bacterium. RNAcentral's name for it is "bacterial SSU rRNA". It matches the Rfam family "Bacterial small subunit ribosomal RNA", at positions 328 to 803 of the family's 1533-position model. The record is from RNAcentral.
UAGCGGAACUCCUACGGGAGGCAGCAGUUAGGAAUCUUCGGCAAUGGGCGAAAGCCUGACCGAGCGACACUGCUUGGAGGAUGAAGGUCUUCGGAUCGUAAACUCCUGAACGAGGGACGAAUAAUGACGGUACCUCGCUAAUAGCACCGGCUAACUCCGUGCCAGCAGCCGCGGUAAUACGGAGGGUGCGAGCGUUAUCCGGAAUCACUGGGCGUAAAGGGCGCGUAGGCGGUUUGUUAAGUCCGAUGUUAAAGCGUGAGGCUCAACCUCAUCACGGCGUUGGAUACUGGCAAGCUGGACGGUUGGAGAGGAAGGUAGAAUUACCAGUGUAGCGGUGGAAUGCGUAGAUACUGGUAGGAAUACCCAUUGCGAAGGCAGCCUUCUGGACAACACGUGACGCUGAGGCGCGAAAGUGUGGGGAGCAAACCGGAUUAGAAACCCUAGUAGUCCACUUAUG